This is a long non-coding RNA of Phasianus colchicus (ring-necked pheasant), 1593 nucleotides long. Lineage: Eukaryota; Metazoa; Chordata; Aves; Galliformes; Phasianidae. The record is from Ensembl.
CUCCUUCAGGAAAGGCAAAUGGUACAGGUGGUGCCUCAGUAGCAGAGAUGAACACAUGUGGAACAUAUUAAUUCAUCAAUAAACAGAAAGUAGAAACAGGUUUUAAAACAAACUUUUAUUUGUGCUCAGUGAAAUCAAAUUUUUAGUUUGGAAUAGGAAUGUUGCAAAAUUCUUCUUCCCCUUUUUUGAGUUCUGGAUAAAGGAAGACUACAUGAGCAUAAAACUUGACUAAGCAUCUAAUUUGAAUCAACUGUGGGAGAAGAGAGGAUUGAAGAUGCUGUGACACCUGGAAACUGUCUGAAGGAAAACAAUUCUGAUACUCGUGAAGCAUUUGGUGUCUAUUGUAAACAUGAAUACAGCACAAAGCUUGACCCAAUUUGCAUGCAGUAGCAUCUAGUGACCCACUCCUAAAUCAGAGCAGUGCAGCUGCCAGGUGCUACAUGAGCAAUGAGAUGGUAAACCUGCCUAAAGAAAUCUAUACAGAACAGAUGAAAUAUUUAACUUAUCUGCAGUUGCUCCACUGGCUAGAUUUGUACUAUCUGCUAAUGGUCUGUCUUAACCAGAAAUAUGCUGAUUUCCAGCCACACCUCUAAGACAAAGUGUCUUAAGUGUAUAAAAAUCAAGCUUCCAUUUUUAACAUUUUACUUCUGCUGCUUGGGAUCCUUAGACCUCAACUAGGGUUGAGUCUGACUACAUGCUGGGUGAGUCCCAAAAUACAGCUAAAUCCAGAGGCAUUUCUGUAAUCUGGUUCAGCAUAAGAGCUUGAUGGUAAACUGUCCUAGUUUGGUUUGUUCUUUUUCCCCCCACACUUUGUAAGCCAUGCUGGUACACAUGCUCUCACUCACUUAACAAAAGUUAGCAACAAAGUUUUGUGUUAAAGCAUGAAUUACAGUCAUGAGUCAUCUUGCUUCUGCCUUCCUAGUAUAGACAGGGAAAUGUUGUAAGUGCUGUGUGUUACGUAAAAUAAGGAUUGGCUUUUUUUUUUUCUGACCAGGGUAAGGAUUGUACAGCUUGGUUUUGCACAGAAUUAUACUGCCUAGAAAGUGUAUUUCUUAAAAGGGAAAAUUAAUGUAUUUGUAUGGCAGCCAGAUGUAUUAACAGAAUAAGCUUUCCUUCAGGGCUACUUGAAUGAAACGUGAAAUUCUAAAGUAAGAAAAGUAAGACAAGUUCUUUGGAGCACGAUAACUCAAGAGUUGAGAAAAUGAGUUCCUACCAUCUUAGUUACUUUCUAUUUCACAUAAGUUACUGCAAAAUGCUUAGCAAAUUGGGCUUAAAUUGUUCUCCCCACAUUUCAACUGUAGUUAAAUUAUAACAUUCUUUAUAAUACUUUGAACUACUGUUGGUGUCCCAGUUCAGUAUGCAGAGAAGACAAUCAGGUUGUAAUCACUAUUAUACUCCAAAGGUUGGUUUUAAUUAACAAGAGCAAAGUGAUUUUAAUGAAAAGGGGAAAGUUUGUUUAAACAAAAGCUAUUAAUCUAAAAAGGGUUCAGAUAUUAUAAUCCCAAUAGAGUUCUUAAAAAUUUUUAAGGAAAUAAUGAAGGCAAGAAGAACAAGAGGUUGAGAGUUUAAAGAAAUCUUCUAUUCAAAGUCAGC